CUCAGUACGGCGAGUGAGCGGCAGAGCUCAAAUUUGAAAGCUGGCCCCUUCGGGGUCCGCGUUGUAAUUUGCAGAGGAUGCUUCGGGUGCAGCCCCCGUCUAAGUGCCCUGGAACGGGCCGUCAUAGAGGGUGAGAAUCCCGUCUGGGACGGGGUGUCUGCGUCCGUGUGAAGCUCCUUCGACGAGUCGAGUUGUUUGGGAAUGCAGCUCUAAAUGGGUGGUAAAUUUCAUCUAAAGCUAAAUACUGGCCGGAGACCGAUAGCGCACAAGUAGAGUGAUCGAAAGAUGAAAAGCACUUUGAAAAGAGAGUUAAACAGCACGUGAAAUUGUUGAAAGGGAAGCGUUUGCGACCAGACUCGCCCGCGGGGUUCAGCCGGCAUUCGUGCCGGUGUACUUCCCCGUGGGCGGGCCAGCGUCGGUUUGGGCGGCCGGUCAAAGGCCCUCGGAAUGUAUCACCUCUCGGGGUGUCUUAUAGCCGAGGGUGCAAUGCGGCCUGCCUGGACCGAGGAACGCGCUUCGGCUCGGACGCUGGCGUAAUGGUCGUAAAUGACCCGUCUUGAA
Molecule: ribosomal RNA, 561 nt
Filed under: Aspergillus fumigatus
Lineage: Eukaryota; Fungi; Ascomycota; Eurotiomycetes; Eurotiales; Aspergillaceae
Description: eukaryotic LSU rRNA
Rfam family: Eukaryotic large subunit ribosomal RNA
Source: RNAcentral